CAGAUAUUCAGAUAUCUGCUACUUAAGAAUGGACUGAAUGAUGAGCGUGUGUAUGUGUUACGUGUGUGUUUGCUCAAGGGCAUGCCUGAGAGAGGGCUUUGAAUAAAGUGAAGCUUCUGUUAAGAGUUUUAUCAGCUGGACAUAGUGGCUCAUCUCUGUAAUCCCAGCAUUUUUGGAGGCCGAGGUGGGUGGAUCACUUGAGGUCAGGAGUUUGAGACCAGCCUGACCAAUAUGGUGAAACCCCAUUCCUACUAAAAAUGCAAAAAUUAGCCAGGUGUG
Molecule: long non-coding RNA, 279 nt
Filed under: Homo sapiens (human)
Lineage: Eukaryota; Metazoa; Chordata; Mammalia; Primates; Hominidae
Description: HSALNT0251674
Source: RNAcentral